This 665-nucleotide long non-coding RNA is filed under the name Vulpes vulpes (red fox). RNAcentral describes it as "lncRNA (ENSVVUG00000019879.1)". The record is from RNAcentral. Lineage: Eukaryota; Metazoa; Chordata; Mammalia; Carnivora; Canidae.
CCUGGUUUCACUAACGCUGUAUUUUGUGUCUACUGGGACGGGGCCUGAGGAGGACCUGGGUGUUCUGGUGUUAAAUCUGGCUUCACCAAUAAAUCCUCCUAGCUGUUCUUGCGGGUGAUUUUGAGCCCUCUGUGAUGUUGGCAAUGCCCAGAGCCACUUUGAUUGUCACAGUGGUUGUGGGGGGGUACCGGUGACACCUGGUUGGCAGCGUCUGGGGAUGCUGGUCAUCGCCCAGGUGCAGGUGUAGGCCAGUCCCCCUGACAAACCCCUGUAUGGCUGAGGACGUCUGUGAUGGCGAGGUUGAGAAACCCCGACAUUGACGCUGGGGUCACUUACUUAGCCUCUGCAAGCUUGUGUUUCCCUGCCCGAGAGAGCACAUCCCUCGGGCCAGUGCCUGGAAGUGGUCUUUAGUUCUACCUCUGGCAGUUCUGUUCUUUUGUCCUGUCAUGAAGCUCUAACGGUGAGGAAUUCAAGCCCUUGUCACUGGAGGAGAGACCAGGGUGGGAGCACUCCUGAUGCCAGGGGAGACACGCUCAGAGACGCUGAUCAGCUCGUGGGACCAGGAUGGCUCCCUGCCAGGGAGUUCUGGGAGAUUCAUUUAAGGUGUGUUUCAGCAGGCUAAUUAAUUUACAAGCACCUGUGUCAUCGCUGGGAGCUGUUAGCAC